This 72-nucleotide transfer RNA is filed under the name Ixodes scapularis (black-legged tick). RNAcentral describes it as "tRNA-Ser". It matches the Rfam family "tRNA". Rfam says of the family: Transfer RNA (tRNA) molecules are approximately 80 nucleotides in length. The record is from RNAcentral. Lineage: Eukaryota; Metazoa; Arthropoda; Arachnida; Ixodida; Ixodidae.
UCCUGGUUUGCUCAGUAGAUGAGCGCUCCACUGGAGACAGGGAGAUCCCUGGUUCAAUACCAGGACCAGGCG